GAUGAACGCUGGCAGCGUGCCUAAUACAUGCAAGUCGAGCGAACAGAUAAGGAGCUUGCUCCUUUGACGUUAGCGGCGGACGGGUGAGUAACACGUGGGUAACCUACCUAUAAGACUGGGAUAACUUCGGGAAACCGGAGCUAAUACCGGAUAACAUUUGGAACCGCAUGGUUCUAAAGUGAAAGAUGGUUUUGCUAUCACUUAUAGAUGGACCCGCGCCGUAUUAGCUAGUUGGUAAGGUAACGGCUUACCAAGGCGACGAUACGUAGCCGACCUGAGAGGGUGAUCGGCCACACUGGAACUGAGACACGGUCCAGACUCCUACGGGAGGCAGCAGUAGGGAAUCUUCCGCAAUGGGCGAAAGCCUGACGGAGCAACGCCGCGUGAGUGAUGAAGGGUUUCGGCUCGUAAAACUCUGUUAUUAGGGAAGAACAAAUGUGUAAGUAACUGUGCACGUCUUGACGGUACCUAAUCAGAAAGCCACGGCUAACUACGUG
RNAcentral lists this ribosomal RNA (497 nucleotides) under uncultured bacterium. RNAcentral describes it as "partial 16S ribosomal RNA". It matches the Rfam family "Bacterial small subunit ribosomal RNA", at positions 28 to 507 of the family's 1533-position model. The record is from RNAcentral.